This 468-nucleotide ribosomal RNA is filed under the name uncultured bacterium. Its description in RNAcentral is "partial 16S ribosomal RNA". It matches the Rfam family "Bacterial small subunit ribosomal RNA", at positions 28 to 507 of the family's 1533-position model. The record is from RNAcentral.
GACGAACGCUGGCGGCGUGCUUAACACAUGCAAGUCGAACGGAAAGGCCCUGCUUUUGUGGUGUGCUCGAGUGGCGAACGGGUGAGUAACACGUGAGUAACCUGCCCUUGACUUUGGUAUAACUUCAGGAAACUGGGGCUAAUACCGGAUAGGAGCUCCUGCUGCAUGGUGGGGGUUGGAAAGUUUCGGCGGUUGGGGAUGGACUCGCGGCUUAUCAGCUUGUUGGUGGGGUAGUGGCUUACCAAGGCUUUGACGGGUAGCCGGCCUGAGAGGGUGACCGGCCACAUUGGGACUGAGAUACGGCCCAGACUCAUACGGGAGGCAGCAGGGGGGAAUAUUGCACAAUGGGCGGAAGCCUGAUGCAGCAACGCCGCGUGCGGGAUGACGGCCUUCGGGUUGUAAACCGCUUUCGCCUGUGACGAAGCGGGAGUGACGGUAAUGGGUAAAGAAGCACCGGCUAACUACGUG